AACGAACGCUGGCGGCAUGCCUAACACAUGCAAGUCGAACGAGACCUUCGGGUCUAGUGGCGCACGGGUGUGUAACGCGUGGGAAUCUGCCCUUGGGUUCGGGAUAACAGUUGGAAACGACUGCUAAUACCGGAUGAUGUCUUCGGACCAAAGAUUUAUCGCCCAAGGAUGAGCCCGCGUAGGAUUAGCUUGUUGGUGAGGUAAGAGCUCACCAAGGCGACGAUCCUUAGCUGGUCUGAGAGGAUGAUCAGCCACACUGGGACUGAGACACGGCCCAGACUCCUACGGGAGGCAGCAGUGGGGAAUAUUGGACAAUGGGCGAAAGCCUGAUCCAGCAAUGCCGCGUGAGUGAUGAAGGCCUUAGGGUUGUAAAGCUCCUUUACCCGGGAUGAUAAUGACAGUACCGGGAGAAUAAGCCCCGGCUAACUCCGUGCCAGCCGCCGCGGUAA
RNAcentral lists this ribosomal RNA (449 nucleotides) under uncultured bacterium. Its description in RNAcentral is "partial 16S ribosomal RNA". It matches the Rfam family "Bacterial small subunit ribosomal RNA", at positions 29 to 523 of the family's 1533-position model. The record is from RNAcentral.